This 421-nucleotide ribosomal RNA is filed under the name uncultured microorganism. RNAcentral's name for it is "bacterial SSU rRNA". It matches the Rfam family "Bacterial small subunit ribosomal RNA", at positions 9 to 428 of the family's 1533-position model. The record is from RNAcentral.
GAGUUUGAUCAUGGCUCAGAUUGAACGCUGGCGGCAUGCCUUACACAUGCAAGUCGAACGGCAGCAUGAUCUAGCUUGCUAGAUUGAUGGCGAGUGGCGAACGGGUGAGUAAUACAUCGGAACGUGCCCUGUAGUGGGGGAUAACUAGUCGAAAGAUUAGCUAAUACCGCAUACGACCUGAGGGUGAAAGUGGGGGACCGCAAGGCCUCAUGCUAUAGGAGCGGCCGAUGUCUGAUUAGCUAGUUGGUGGGGUAAAGGCCCACCAAGGCGACGAUCAGUAGCUGGUCUGAGAGGACGAUCAGCCACACUGGGACUGAGACACGGCCCAGACUCCUACGGGAGGCAGCAGUGGGGAAUUUUGGACAAUGGGGGCAACCCUGAUCCAGCAAUGCCGCGUGUGUGAAGAAGGCCUCGGUUGUAA